RNAcentral lists this long non-coding RNA (612 nucleotides) under Vulpes vulpes (red fox). Its description in RNAcentral is "lncRNA (ENSVVUG00000014352.1)". The record is from RNAcentral. Lineage: Eukaryota; Metazoa; Chordata; Mammalia; Carnivora; Canidae.
CCUCGCGGGAGCAGCGCCCGCCGGCCCGCGGAUGCUCUGAGCGCCCCCGGCGCCCCCGCCUCCCGGGAAGAAGCGGCAGCCCCUCCCCGGGCUCCGCUAGGGCGCUCAGGCGGCCGCCGCGGCCACCUCCCCAUCGCUAGGACCCCGGCCGGCCACGGAGCAGGGGGCCUUCGGGGGCCGGACGUGGUCGCGCGAGACUUGGGCGCUCGCAGAGCCCCGGAGGGGCCGGCCGUGCGGGGCCGCCCUGGCUCUCCCGCCCUUCGCGCUGUCCCGCUGCGCGCCGCCGCCCCCAGGUUGCGGACCGUCGGGCCGCUGCUCCCGCGCAGAGCCGGUCCCCAGGUUAGGCGGACGACGGGCAGGGCUCCCGGGAGAGGGCACCCGGUGUUCGGAGACGGCCCACGCGGAGUCGCCGAGUGUCGGGCCGGCGGAAGCCCUGGGAAGGGCCCCGACGGGACCUCGACGGCCUCACCUGCUGCGGGUCCGCUCGGGACGGCCCGUCCCCGUCUGCCGCUGCCCGCUGUGCGCGCACACCCUCCCCAAGAUCCAACCCAGUUGUGUCAGAGUUCCCCAAGACUAGCCUCUCAUUUAUUGAUUUGCCAGGACAUGAUGUGA